UACGGAGGGAGCUAGCGUUGUUCGGAAUUACUGGGCGUAAAGCGCACGUAGGCGGCUUUGUAAGUUAGAGGUGAAAGCCCGGGGCUCAACUCCGGAACUGCCUUUAAGACUGCAUCGCUAGAAUCCGGGAGAGGUGAGUGGAAUUCCGAGUGUAGAGGUGAAAUUCGUAGAUAUUCGGAAGAACACCAGUGGCGAAGGCGGCUCACUGGACCGGUAUUGACGCUGAGGUGCGAAAGCGUGGGGAGCAAACAGG
This 253-nucleotide ribosomal RNA is filed under the name uncultured bacterium. RNAcentral describes it as "partial 16S ribosomal RNA". It matches the Rfam family "Bacterial small subunit ribosomal RNA", at positions 524 to 776 of the family's 1533-position model. The record is from RNAcentral.